GGGGGAAAACCUGAUUAUUGCACUGUAUUCAAAGUCAAUGAAAUGGAGGGAAAUAUUUGCCCAUCCCCGAUGAAGCCUGUUGAAAGGGGUACUCCGGUGCGCCGGCAUUCUGAACAUUUUGUGGUGGUCUGACAAAGCCCGCAUGCGCGGGUGAAACAGCUGUCACACCUUCAGACAUCUGCAGCGUUCUGCACCCACUCCCGUCACCGGCUGCGAGGAUUUUGUGUUACCCACAGUAAUAAAUCAAGCUUUACUACAAGAUGUGAGGAGACAGGAGCAGAGAAAGAAGAGAGAAGCUCCGCCCACAGUCUGUCCCAGCCGAAACUCCAGCCUGUGAGGGGAGGUAUGGGGCCUUACUAUCACUUUGUGUAUACACUAUUUGAAACAUCCUGGAUGAACACAGAAUGGGGGACUCCCUAGAAGAUCACUAUAUCAGACCAUUGUCACUGUCGUUUUUUCUUCUCUUUUAAAAAAAUGUUUUUUCUCUGUUCACAUUAUGGUGAUCAUAGGGUCCGGAUUUCUGUAUCCCGAUAGAAGCGUUAGGCUAGG
Long non-coding RNA from Hyla sarda, 549 nucleotides. RefSeq lists it as uncharacterized. The transcript is spliced from 4 exons. The record is from RefSeq and is a predicted model, not a curated record. Lineage: Eukaryota; Metazoa; Chordata; Amphibia; Anura; Hylidae.